RNAcentral lists this unclassified non-coding RNA (2450 nucleotides) under Hevea brasiliensis (rubber tree). The record is from RNAcentral. Lineage: Eukaryota; Viridiplantae; Streptophyta; Magnoliopsida; Malpighiales; Euphorbiaceae.
CUCUCUCUCUCUCUCUCUCAACUUCAUCUGCAAGCUGUUGAAGGUAUGUGCUUGACCCACUCCGGAAAUGUUCAGUUGGGUGUCAUUGCUUGUCUUCAACUCUACAAGCUUUUCUGUUCCCAAAUAGAGAAAAAUGCAACUUAAAGUUACCUUCUUGAAUGAUUUUUCCAAAUGUAAAUUUAAUUUUCUCAAUUGGGUGGUUAUUUAAUUUGUUUGUUUUGGAAGAAAUCUGUCACAGCCCUUUCUAGUUUUUGUAAAAUUGUAUUGUAAUAGCAUGGUUCAGAUUUGCAGAUUUUUUAUGGAAGCCCCCUAUUAACAAACUAUUUUCUUGAGUAGUUUACUGCUCUCUUACAGGCAUGGAGAGAACAGGAGAAAGGGUUGUACUCUCUAUUUUUGAGACUGUAAGCUUAUAGGAUAUUCAGAAAGAAAAGUUGCCUUUGAAAGACAUUACAAUGCCAGUUCCUCUUGCUCCUUAUCCAACGCCUCCAGCACCUUACACUCAACCUGCCAAUGGUGCACAGAGCCAGCUUGUUUGUUCUGGAUGUCGAAAUCUUUUACUCUACCCAGUUGGAGCAACCUCUGUGUGCUGCGCCGUAUGCAAUGCAGUCACAGCUGUGCCACCUCCAGGUACAGAAAUGGCACAGUUGGUUUGUGGAGGCUGCCACACCUUACUCAUGUACAUUCGUGGAGCAACUAGUGUACAAUGUUCUUGUUGUCACACCAUCAAUCUAGCGUUGGAAGGUACUUUUCCAAAAAAUAAAUAAAUAAAAUAGAAGAUAUGUAAGAUGUUGAAUUUAUGAUGGCAUUAAGACAAUUAUAAGAACAAUCGAGUUUCAACCAUUGUAGUAUAUAUCUAUUACCUGCAAAAUUUGGAUAAAUUGCAUUACUGCCUGAUGGAAAUAAGGUUCAAUAUGUAUAUUAUGACAGCGAAUCAAGUGGCACACGUCAAUUGUGGGAACUGCAGAAUGCUAUUGAUGUACCAAUACGGGGCACGAUCAGUGAAAUGUGCUGUUUGCAAUUUUGUGACAUCAGUUGGGGCAAGUAUAUUAUCACUUUAGCUUAUGUUAAUGAUCUAGUGAAUUUCUGUCUAGUUAGACCACACUGUCUCUCAAAGUGUAGAUUUUUAGAUAAUAAUAAUAAUGGGGGGUAAGCCUUAAUUAGAAGUUCAAAGUUGUUGAAGAUCUGGUUGUGGAUAACGAUCAUAGAUGUUUAGGCUCAUAAAACCCCUGAACCACAGAUGGAUUAGAAGGCAACUGAAAUAUGGAUUAGCAAGCUUGAAAACAUGUAACAUUUCACCCCUAUUCUCCUCCAUUUGUUUAACCCUAUACACUCUUAUCUUGUCCUGCUGUGGCAAAAAUGUCUCCAAAUUUCUUUGAAAUCCCUAUAAAGCUUUUGAAAUUUAAUGUAUUGAUAUUCAUAAAGCAAUUAUUUGAAGUGCAUUUGUGAGUAGAUGACUUCAGCUCCUCAAUUCUGUUUUUCUCUUCUUAUUUUUCAGGGGUAGGGCAAGAUAGAUCAUGUCAUAUAAAACUUUUUUUCCCCUGUUUUGCAUCCUUUUAAGCCUUUCAAGUUUCUGUAUUGAUUUUUGUUCAUAAUAAGUUAUUGACUAUUACAUGAACAAUACGUAGAGUUUAAAUUGAUAGUGUUCUCGAAAUUUCCUGGCAACAUAUUAGUAAAAAGGAUUGCAGAAAUCUGCAUAUUGCUCUCUAAUUUUCUUGGCUAUCUUUUGCCAUAAGAUAAACAUAUAUAACAACAGCUAGAGUCAUUAGAACCAUCCUUUCUGUGUUUCCAUUGACGUAAUGUGGUGUAACCCAAUGACGCAGGCAUCAACAAGCACUACUGAACAGAAGUUCAACAUCUGAUGUUAAUUAUUACAAGCCUAAGUUGGUGAUUACCGAUUCUACAACUUCAGUUUUGCAUAUUAUUGCAGUAUUUCCACCGACUGUAUCUGUAGGCGAAGCAGAGGAAAUUACCUACCUUAGUUCACAUGUAUAGAGUUAAAUUUUCCCCCCUUUGCGUGAUCCUUUUAUCAUCAUGAAUAAGAAGUUUUUCCAUAUUAAAUGUAUGUGAAGCAUUAUUCUGUGAAGAGACUUGCAGGUUGUGCUUGUGAGUGCAUUCUGGAAAUUGUUUUUGGAUAAUGAUGCUGAUAAUUCAUUUUCUUUUUACUUUGGCAUGGGUGUGAGGUAAGCAUCAAGAUUGAAGUACACGGGAAAAAGUUAUUGAAGAUGCUUUCUUGCUUUUUCUUAGAAUUGACUUAAAAUACAAACAGGGAACAACUGCUUGAAAGUCAUUUGUACUAGAUGAAUUUGAUGGAUGAGUAUAGCAAUUAACAUAGGGGACCAAGGAGAUAUUUUAGCAAGGAAACAUGAAUAUGAGUAUUCUGAAAAGCUCAAUUUUGAUUUGUGAAUUUAUAGCCGACAGGAUUAGCAUAGAGGUUUUUGUAACUGAGUGGA